Molecule: long non-coding RNA, 685 nt
Organism: Gossypium raimondii (Peruvian cotton)
Lineage: Eukaryota; Viridiplantae; Streptophyta; Magnoliopsida; Malvales; Malvaceae
Exons: 2
Source: RefSeq, a predicted model, not a curated record
CAGAAAUCCAAUAUAAUGUAUAGAUUAGAAUAAUAAUAAAACUGAAUCAAAACAAUGCGAAAUAUAGAAGGACUCAUCGCGCAAAUGGACCAUUGAAGCAAAACGCGCGAAUCCUUCCCUCAGACCGGUUCACCGCGCGGGUCGGAGUCGAUUUUAAGGCUGCUGAAACAUGCUUAAAACGGAGUCGUUUCCUUCUCGUAGACCCAAAAUAAACCCUAAAACUAGCAGCCUAUCAUUUUCUAAGGAAAGAAAAUAAAGAAAAAAACUAAAGAACCUUAAAGGUUCUCUGCGCCGCUCGACGAAACCUCUCCUCAAACCCCCCAACCUCCACUCAACUCCGAUGACGAUGGAGGGAGAGGAUUUACUAGCUGUACGGGCGUACGAGGGCUAGCUGGGACGUGGCGCGGCUCGUGUGAGGCAUCCCGCGUGGUGGGCACGCGAGGGGGAGGGUUCUUGUCGCUGCGGCGCUGGAGGCCUACUGCAGGUUGCUAGGGUUUCUGGCUCUCUUUAGGCGAACCGGACUAGGGUAUUGGGCUUAGGGUUUUUGGUUAUUGGGCUGGGGUGUAUUGGGUAAUUCGAGUUUUUGGUUAUUGGGUUGGGGUGUAUUGGGUAAUUCGGGUUAGAAUUUGGGUUUGUAAAUGGACUGUUUUUGGACUAUUUUUAUUUAUUUGACUUUUUAUUUUUA